CCUACGGGAGGCAGCAGUGAGGAAUAUUGGUCAAUGGUCGGGAGACUGAACCAGCCAAGCCGCGUGAGGGAUGAAGGUACAGAGUAUCGUAAACCUCUUUUGUCAGGGAACAAAGGCGGGGACGCGUCCCCGGAUGAGUGUACCUGAAGAAAAAGCAUCGGCUAACUCCGUGCCAGCAGCCGCGGUAAUACGGAGGAUGCGAGCGUAAUCCGGAUUUAUUGGGUUAAAAGGGUGCGCAGGCGGUCUGUUAAGUCAGCGGUCAAAGCCCGGGGCUCAACCCCGGCACGCCGUUGAAACUGGCAGUCUCGAGUUGGAGAGAAGUAUGCGGAAUGCGCGGUGUAGCGGUGAAAUGCAUAGAUAUCACGAGGAACCCCGAUUGCGAAGGCAGCCUGCCGGGGUGCGACUGACGCUGAGGCUCGAAGGUGCGGGUAUCAAACAGGAUUAGAUACCCGAGUAGUC
RNAcentral lists this ribosomal RNA (459 nucleotides) under uncultured bacterium. Its description in RNAcentral is "partial 16S ribosomal RNA". It matches the Rfam family "Bacterial small subunit ribosomal RNA", at positions 338 to 795 of the family's 1533-position model. The record is from RNAcentral.